This is a long non-coding RNA of Oryzias melastigma (Indian medaka), 3535 nucleotides long. RefSeq lists it as uncharacterized. The transcript has 4 exons. NCBI's taxonomy places the organism in Eukaryota, Metazoa, Chordata, Actinopteri, Beloniformes, Adrianichthyidae. The record is from RefSeq and is a predicted model, not a curated record.
CACAAAUAGUUACUAAAUUAAACCCUUAAAAGAGUUUGGAAGCCUAAUGCUUCUGACCAAGGCCAGAUUGACAUGUGAUGGCAGGGUGGUGAUGGAAGCUCCCUGCAUCGUGGAGGGAGGGAGGGGGGAGAAGGUUCACGGCAAAUGGCCACCCCAAGAAUAAAGAAUGUGUUGUUUGGACAGCAGCGUAACAAACCCUGCCUCUCUGCGCCGCGGCCUGCUCCUCGUUUGUCUUCUUUGCUUCGACUGUUUCAUUGCGUUCUGUUAAAUCCAACAGUCAUCCCCAUUACCCACUGUCUGUUCCCCCCUCCCUUUAUUCUCACUACCCCACCCAUCCCCGUCACCCGGGGUCUUUUUUCACGCGUUUUCACCCCACCCUCUGAUUGGUCGCUUCUCCCUGUGUCUCAUUAAGCCGCAGCCUCUCAAGGCGUGGCGUUUCCUAAUAACUGGUUUUAAUUAUCGGUUGGACAUUUUUUUGGACAGGCCCUGUGUGAACACCUGCCCGUGUGCCCAUUCGUCAUAAAGACCCUGUAAAUUAGUCGGUGCUGAGUGCAGUUCUGUUCCGUUCCAGUUUCCAGUAAGCUGAUCCUGCUGGCAAGGGUUAGUGGGGAGACUUCCUUUUCUGGAAUGACCUGAUGCGCCGUGUUGAUGAUCUUUCCCCCCCCCUCUCUCGCUCCCCGUCCCUCUGCUUGGACUCAUCCAGUCAGGAGAGUGAAGGGAAUGCACGGAUCACUUCUACUUCUUUAUCUCAUUCUGGAUCCCUUUUCCCACACUACUCCACUUUCUAUCCUCAGCUUCUAAACCUCCUCCGUCUCUACCUCCGUACUCUCCGCCUUCCUGUAUCUGAGCGCCGGAGAGAGUCGCCAAUUGUGCAAAGCAGAGGCAGCAAGUGGGAGUGGACCUCAGCAAGGAAGCGUGCCUGCAAGUGUGUGAGAGAAAAGGAGGAGGAGGAGGAGGAGGAGAAGGAGGUGGUGGUGGUGGAAAGCAUCAGCACAGUCCUCCCAGUUUCUUCGAGCUGUCUACAUGGAGAGAUCCUUCUCAAUGGACGUUUUAUGAAGCAGCUCUGGGCGCUCAAUUCCACAAGCUCCUACAUGCUGGAUUUUAAAAACAGUGAGGAGAGGAGAGGAACUGGGGGAGAGCUCUGAAUAUGAGUGAGGAGGCUAAGGAGAAAACAGGAGGCGGGAAAGCAGCCCAUCGCAAAAAGAAAGGCAAAAAGUGAACCAUCCAGGCAGAAAGGCUCCAGCUCCUCUGUUCUUUGUCUUGGGUGGAAAAACCCUGCCAGAGACAGAGGGCCUGCGUCUGGAGGACUGGUGAAAUAAGCCGUUCUGUGACAGCGCCUUCAAAGAGGAACGGCACAUCACAUCCCCCAGAUAUUAGCAGGGCACUGGCGAAUGUGCUGACGGGAAGUCUGCGUUUGAGUGAGCGUGUGUGUGCGUGGAGGACAGAGCACGCAAAGUGCUGCUUUUGUUUUUGCAGAUUACACUAAUGGACUUGGCACGGAUCAAUUCUUUAAAAAGGUUACGCCUCAUGCACUCCUGGAGAGUCUGCAGAAGGAAAUAAUGUUUAAAUACUGUAAUUGGGGCAGUAAAUAGGCCAGUAUUUAAUCACAUGUUGAUAUUCACUUUAGUAAAAAGCUAAAUUGUCAGAUAUGGUAUGAAUAUUAAUAGUUUUUGUGGUCAAAAUACUUUCUUUCACUUGCUUAUGUCAAGAUAAUUUGCCCACAUUUUUAAAAAGUAAUAUAUUAACCUUAAAAACUGAUUAAAAAUGUGGUAACACUGAUCUGUCUCCAGACCUCAAAUAAAACCCUUUAAGUGCACACAUGUUCACUCAUGCUUUAUUGGCUUAUUUUGUAUUAAGUAAACACAAAUGUGUUCCCUCAGGUUUUCUGUUAGUAUGCAUGUGUGUGGGCGGGUGUGUUCCUGCGCUGUGGCGUGCAUGUGUGUUCGGGUAGGCGUCUCAGAGCUCGGGCACAUCUGCACGCCCUGGGGAGAGGGCAGAGAGAUCAGCCUGUCAGAGCUCCAUCACUUUUAGAUGAACUCUUUCUGUUCAUAUCUCUCCACUAAGGGAAGGAAUGAGGGAUGAGGUGAAAAAAGAAGGAGAGACAGCAUUAAAGAGGGGAGGGGGGUGAGGUAUGCGAUGGAGAGAGAGGAGGUGUGAUUGAAGAUGGAGAAGUGAGAGGGAGGUGUGAGCUGGGCAUAGGCUGAAUGGUUUAAAAUGUGUGUUUUUUCAUCAGUUGUGUUAGUAAUGACAUUUUUUUUUAAAUAUGUAUAAAAAAACAUUUUUUGUGUUUUUUGUAAUAAAGGCGAGACAGAUCAUGUGUCAGUGUGUCAGUUUGCGACUGUUUGACCAAUUAUUCCAGAUUUUCCUAAUUUUAAGAGAUUUUUUUGAGAGGGACCUGGUUGCAGGCAAGAUGGCGGAUAAACACAAUUUUAAGAUCAUCAUUAGCCAGAAGCAGAUACGUCGCAACUGUAGCCAGAAUUGAAUUUUGUAUCUAUACUAGAAGAUCCUUACUCAUAACCAUAAUCGUAGACCUUACCUGAACUGUAACUCUUACCCUAACUGUAACUCUUACCCGAACCGUAACUCUUACCCUAACCGUAACUCUUACCCCUAACCAUAACUCUUACCCUAAUCGUAACCCUUACCCAAACCGUAACCCUUACCCUAACCGUAGACCUUACCCGAACUGUAACUGUUACCUGAACCGUAACUCUAACCCGAACCGUAACUCUUACCCGAACCAUAACUCUUACCCAAACCGUAACCCUUACCCUAACUGUAACUGUUACCCGAACCGUAACUCUAACCCGAACCGUAACUCUUACCCGAACCGUAACUCUUACCCGAACCGUAGACCUUACCCUAACCGUAACUCUUACCCGAACCGUAACUCUUACCCGAACCGUAGACCUUACCCUAACAGUAACUCUUACCCGAACCGUAACUCUUACCCGAACCGUAGACCUUACCCUAACCGUAACUCUCACCCGAACCGUAACUCUUACCCUAACUGAAACCCCAGCCUCAAAUAUUAAUUCCUUUCAGUUCAGUAUUGUCCGGGUUGUCUCUCAUCUGACGGAUCACCUGACUAAUCAGCUGCAUCUGUCUUUUGAUCAGAGUUGGGUAAUUCCAGGCCUUCAGGGCUGCUGUUUCUGCAUAUUUUCUAGAUGUCUUCUAGAUGCCUGGAUCAGGUGUGUUGAGGUGAUUAGAACAUACCAGAGAAGAGCAUGUUGAAAAAAAACAAGCAGGAAUUCGUCCCUCUGUACCCCACCCCCGUUCUGGAAGGUUGGGUAUGUACAAAAACUGUUGGCACGAAGGACAAAAACAGAACAAUCCCACUUAGAAAAAUAUCUGAAGACCGUAAUCUUUUCAGUUCGUCAUUUUUGAAAUAGCUGACAGGUUUGCUUCUGUUUUACACCUCCAAACAUUAUGAUUAAAAAGAAUGUUAAUUUUUAAAUUACUUUUUUUGUUGCGCCACUAAUGUUUUAUUGGGGUUGUAAGCUAGCGGGAGAGCGUGUAAACAGAUAGAUGAUGG